UACGUAGGGUGCGAGCGUUGUCCGGAAUUACUGGGCGGAAAGAGCUCGUAGGCGGUUUGUCGCGUCUGCCGUGAAAGUCCGGGGCUCAACUCCGGAUCUGCGGUGGGUACGGGCAGACUAGAGUGAUGUAGGGGAGACUGGAAUUCCUGGUGUAGCGGUGAAAUGCGCAGAUAUCAGGAGGAACACCGAUGGCGAAGGCAGGUCUCUGGGCAUUAACUGACGCUGAGGAGCGAAAGCAUGGGGAGCGAACAGG
This 253-nucleotide ribosomal RNA is filed under the name uncultured bacterium. Its description in RNAcentral is "partial 16S ribosomal RNA". It matches the Rfam family "Bacterial small subunit ribosomal RNA", at positions 524 to 776 of the family's 1533-position model. The record is from RNAcentral.